Molecule: ribosomal RNA, 498 nt
Filed under: uncultured bacterium
Lineage: Bacteria
Description: partial 16S ribosomal RNA
Rfam family: Bacterial small subunit ribosomal RNA
Source: RNAcentral
AUUGAACGCUGGCGGCAUGCCUUACACAUGCAAGUCGAACGGUAACGCGGGGCAACCUGGCGACGAGUGGCGAACGGGUGAGUAAUGCAUCGGAACGUGCCUGGUAGUGGGGGAUAACUGCUCGAAAGAGCAGCUAAUACCGCAUACGACCUGAGGGUGAAAGGGGGGGAUCGCAAGACCUCUCGCUAUCGGAGCGGCCGGUGUCGGAUUAGCUAGUUGGUGGGGUAAAGGCCCACCAAGGCAACGAUCCGUAGCUGGUCUGAGAGGACGACCAGCCACACUGGGACGGAGAGACGGCCCAGACUACUACGGGAGGCAGCAGUGGGGAAUUUUGGACAAUGGACGCAAGUCUGAUCCAGCAAUGCCGCGUGCGGGAAGAAGGCCCGCGGGUUGUAAACCGCUUUUGUCAGGGAAGAAAUCUUCUGGGUUAAUACCUCGGGAGGAUGACGGUACCUGAAGAAUAAGCACCGGCUAACUACGUGCCAGCAGCCGCGGUAA